RNAcentral lists this non-coding RNA (29 nucleotides) under Rattus norvegicus (Norway rat). Lineage: Eukaryota; Metazoa; Chordata; Mammalia; Rodentia; Muridae. The record is from RNAcentral.
UGCCUAUGCGUACAUGAGUAGGUGCAGAU